Molecule: long non-coding RNA, 2334 nt
Filed under: Olea europaea subsp. europaea
Lineage: Eukaryota; Viridiplantae; Streptophyta; Magnoliopsida; Lamiales; Oleaceae
Source: RNAcentral
CUCUUUUUUAAAGCCCCGAUCUGUUUCUUACCAUGUUCUCGAUAAUGGUUGGGUGGCAAUUUUGAACUUCACUGCGAUAGGGAAGAUGGGGAGGCUUCUGUGACCUUGACAGGGGAGUGGGGCUUGGUGUGCAGUGGCGGUCGGAACUUAGCCAAAUCAAACCACAUCGUGCGGUGAACAUGCUAGAAGUAAACCAUUUUACUGUUGUUUUAUCUGUUUUUUUUUUUUUUUUAAUUAACCAAUUGCCUAUAGUUCAUAGGUAUAUGUUUCUUUAUAUAAAUUUUCUCUUUGUCAGAUAAAUGUGGUUGUCUUGUUCAAAUUACUUGUGGAAAAAUGAGGAAGGCAUCUUAAGAAUGUAAUAAAGACUUAUAAUGUAGUUACAUUUGUAAUCGGUCUUUUCUGUUUUUUUACACUACAUUUUUCAUAUAUCCUUAUAUGGCUUGGUUGAAGCUGACAGAGGCAUGAGCUUAGUUUUGAUUGAUAUAUUUAUUUUUUUUGGGUUAAGUGUAGUGCAGAGUAUGGAAUUUUUGGUCAAAACUUUAUAUUGAUUUGGUCUUUCAUUUUCUUCAAUUGAUUUAUGUUCACUAAACUUUUAUUUCUAUUGAAAUUUAUGAAUUGUUGUGGAUUUUGACUACUUAGAUGUUUUAGUUAAUACCAGAAAAAGCACAAGUAAAUAAUUCAAACCAUACGUGAGAUAACUUCACUCUAAGUCGAAGUUUAUGUCAUCUAAAACAUGGGAAUUUUUUUAUGUUAUCUGGUAUAUAGGUUAUAUAGGCAUCCAGUCUACAAACAAAUAGAAAUGCUAGUGAACAAGUUCAUCCUUGCUCCAAACAAGAACAUGCUUGAGUUGUUAUUCAAAUUAUCUAUGCAAUAUUGUAUUAUCCAACUCGAGUGGGGUUCAAAAGAGCUAUAACUCUAGAAUUAUAGUAGCAAACGAUUUUACCUUCUUCUGCACAAGUUUUUUAGGUAAAAAUUGAUUAUCUGGUUGUAUUCUGUUUAAAUUUCAAUGUCUUACAUACAUAAUGGUGUUCCAUCUUUGUUGAGUCAUGCUCAACUUUUUUUUUUUUUUUUUUUUUUAAUUAUGAAAUUUCUUGUGAAACCACUUUUGGUCAAUAACUUGCAGGCCUAUGCCUCUUACAUGGAGGGAAUUUUUUUUAGUUGAACAAGAUCAGCACUAGGAAAAAUGAAAGGGCCUGGUCUCGACCUUUUCAAAGCUAAAUUGGAGGUUUGUAUUUUUCCAAGUAUGCAAUCUUGUUAUGGAUGUAGUUGCUAUGUUCUGAUUAUAUUCUUUUUCAUAGGUCAAGGGGAGGGUGUUUUAUUUAUAGCCUCUAUGGCAUGAGGAAAAAAAGAAACUACGUGGGCGUUUCGGCUUGAUUUAAUCCUCAUUGUCCCGUUAUUUUAAUUUAGUUGUUUUCAUUGUAGGAUACCAUAGCUGAGAUUAGAUAUCAACAAGCUGCAUCCAGGGGCGAACCCACAGUGGGUCCUGGUGGGUCACGUGACCCACCAAGUUUGAUUUUUUUCAAUAUGAAUUCAUCAGAUUAGAGUCCUAUUAUAGCUGCAAAUUUGAAAAGGAAAUCCCACCAACCGUCCCAUAAUUUCUGCCUUACUUGAACCCUUCCUUAAUCUCCUUCUUGCCUUGAGUGUUGCCAGCGAUUGGAGCCACUAUCAGAGUCAAAGUCAUCUGCCAUCAACCAUCCGGUUGUGCAGCUGAUUCAGUCGAGUGAUGCUGCUGCCGUUUCAACCAUGCGUGGCCUACCUCCCAUCUUUGAUAGUUGCCACCGCCAUUUGUCGCCAUAGCCGUCCGCUUCCCAAGAACCCAAGUUUAGUACAGAUUCUACAUACUUUAGUCUUUAAAUUAUUUUAUGUUUUGAACUUUGAUUUUACUUACAUCUCUUGAUCUCUAGUUGAAAGCACAUUUGGAAAAAUGACAACUUCUUUUAGAGGAUGGGGUUCAUAAUAGUAGCCUUUUUUUCAAAAAAAAAAAGGACUGCAGUUGCCUUUCAAUGUAAAGUAUUCCUCCAUAUAUCCCAAACAUAUGGUUCAAGUAUCAAGACCGAUUCUAGUUACUAAAGUAACCUCUUCUUCAUUCGAAAUCUUGUUUCAGGUCCUGUAUAAUUAUGAAUGAAUUUAAUGUAGACUAGUUAAUGUAUAUUUCUGAUUUUGAGUUUUCAUUGCAACAAGUCAGCUUUCUUGACAAUUAGUUAUGGUGAAGAGUGAAUUCUGAAUAUAUGAUUUGUGAUUUGGAAAUUUCUCUGGAUUUGUUAAACUAGGCAUGUAAAUGUUAGGGAUUGAAUAUGCCUGGGGCAAAUCUGGAUAUAUGAUUUGUGAUUUGGG